Megalopta genalis is the source of this 756-nucleotide non-coding RNA. NCBI's taxonomy places the organism in Eukaryota, Metazoa, Arthropoda, Insecta, Hymenoptera, Halictidae. The record is from RefSeq and is a predicted model, not a curated record.
AGUCUUGAAUGCUCGUGGAAAGAUACGCCGCUCUCAACGCAUUCUUUAAGAUAUUUGUAAUUAAGACGGGCCAUCGUUCCCCGUGAUAUUCCCACAACAUGUGCAUCAACAAUCUGGCCAAUCAAAUUUUAUGAUUUUGAUGUUAAGUUAUGAAAAUAGUCUAGAGGGAAUAAUGUUAGGAUCAAUCAAUUUUGACUUAUGAGUGAUAUAAAGUCUUGUAGGUGGUUUCCAAAUAAUUUUGGUUUAUAGCUUUUCGAUGAAUGUAGUAAUAGCCCAACUCCAACUUACAGUCUGCAGGUUCUGCACUUAAUUUUUCUGGACGCCAUGGACGUUGUCCAUAAAACUCCAGUUUGUCUUCUCCAAGCAGUGGAUCUGGAUCUGGGUAACUGUUAAUAUUCUAAAAGACAUAUAUGUACAUAUAAGCAAGAGGCAUUUAAAGCUUUUAUAUAAAUAUGUGUGAAUUAUAAUACUUUACAUACUUGACAUAGUUCUUUACAAGCUGCUUGUCUAAAGCUUGCAUGUUGAGCUGCUAAUUGAAAAUAAUACCCAGGGUGCUGGAUUUGGAGAGCUGGAAGUCCCUGAUGAAUAGCUUCAUCAAAUAACUCGGCAAAUGUAGAGAACUGACUACACAUCCAUGCAUGAUGUUCAAAUAUAAGUUCUUUUGGACCAGUCAUCAGUUUGAAUCUGUAUUACAAUAUUUAUCUGUGUUACAGUGCGAAUUAAUUACUAUAUUUGAAUUAAAACUUUGAAUGCUUA